UCCUGUGCCCCAGGGAGAGUAUUUGCCCCAGCGGGCCCCCACACCCUCACGGCCAAAUUUAGCCUGGGCCUAGAAAGAAGGCAGACCAGCCAGCCCAUUAAAGGGCCCACGACGCUCCGGGCCUGUGCCGUCAGGCCCACCUCGGCCUAGGGCACCCCACCCUUCAGAGCUCCCGGCCCCCCACUUCCCGGAGCCCUGCUCCCAGCCCCAUUUCCCUGGACCUCCCACCGGACACAGCAUUAACACCCCAAAGUCCUUCUGGCUCCUGCCCCCAGACUCCUCCCCUGAGGGACCUCUGUACUUUCGCCUCUCCACCCUUAAAUCCUGUCCCUUCAUCCUGGGCCUCCUCCCAGAAGAAAGCCCCAACUUGCCCACAAGGAGAAGAAUCCAGAUUACUGCUGCUGCCAUGGCUGCCCCAGCCUGCCCGGCCCCCGCUCUGUUCCGGCAACUACAACUUGGCCAGGACACUGCUUACCUCUCGACGCCCUUGUGAGGAAGCCUCAACAUCAUGAACUCUGGCGCAUGCGUACAGAGCACCUACCGCGUGCCAGACACAGAGGAAGCCUCGACGGGCAGCACCCUGCCCCCCACGGAGCUUGCACACCACCGAGCAGGUGAGGCAAAGGCGGAUGGAGGAAGGGAACUCUGAGAGCCGGUCUCCUCCUCAGGCACCCACUGCACAAGAUCCAGAGAGCAGAUGAAAAACAGAAGCCACCAUCCAAACAGAGGAACGUAUAUUAUUAGCAGUUGGAGCAGGCACUGGCGUCCUUCGAAUCUGCUGCCGACCAACUAUAUUGCCCAAUCCUUCCGGUUAAUUUUUUUCUUUGACCUCCCUGCAUGUCUCUGGAGCUCCCACAGCUAUGGCUGUCUGCGUUGCAAAAUACAUAUUUACAGGCCCUCUAAGCCUGGCUAAAUAUAGGCUUUCUUUUAAAGCAACUGAUGAGUUGGAGAAAUCUUUCUUCUGUCCCAUCCCUUCCCCACUCCCCAACACACACACACACACACACACACACACACACACUGACUCUCCUUCCACCGGUGGGCCCCAAAGGACCCCUGUCCUUGCUUAAGCAAUGGGGGACUCUUGAGGCAUCAACAGCAGGAAUGAAAAACCCUUUGGGAAGUGGAGAAG
Long non-coding RNA from Prionailurus viverrinus (fishing cat), 1132 nucleotides. RefSeq lists it as uncharacterized. The transcript is spliced from 3 exons. The record is from RefSeq and is a predicted model, not a curated record. Lineage: Eukaryota; Metazoa; Chordata; Mammalia; Carnivora; Felidae.